GUAGGGAACCUGGGAAGGAUCAUUGUUGAAUCCGCAGACGACCGCGAACACGUUAACCAAAAGCGCGGGACGCUGGCCGUCAGGCCGGCUCCCGCACCAAACCUAACUCUCGGCGCGGAAAGCGCCAAGGACUACUCAAACGGACUGCCCCUUCCUCGCCAAGGCUUCCUCGGCGGGGAGGACGCGUCUGAAACGUAACCAAUACGACUGUCGGCAACGGAUAUCUAGGCUCUCGCAUCGAUGAAGAACGUAGCAAAAUGCGAUACUUGGUGUGAAUUGCAGAAUCCCGUGAAUCAUCGAGUUUUUGAACGCAAGUUGCGCCCGAAGCCACUCGGCCGAGGGCACGUCUGCCUGGGCGUCACGCAUCUCGUCACCGCCCCAUUCCUAAGUCCUGGACUCGGAACGGCGCGCGGUGGAUGUUGGCCUCCCGUUCCCCUAGCGGCGCGGAUGGCCUAAAUUCGAGUCCCCGGACAAGGGACGUCACGACUAAAGGUGGUUGAAUUCUCAUUCAUUCUCGCUCUAGCGUCCUGACGGCCCCCGUGGGAACUGAACAAGCCCUAAA
RNAcentral lists this unclassified non-coding RNA (562 nucleotides) under Galium viridiflorum. RNAcentral's name for it is "sequence contains 18S rRNA gene, ITS1, 5.8S rRNA gene, ITS2". The stretch from base 206 to 361 matches the Rfam family "5.8S ribosomal RNA". The record is from RNAcentral. Lineage: Eukaryota; Viridiplantae; Streptophyta; Magnoliopsida; Gentianales; Rubiaceae.